UCCUGGCUCAGAUUGAACGCUGGCGGCAUGCUUUACACAUGCAAGUCGAACGGUAACAGGGUCUUCGGAUGCUGACGAGUGGCGAACGGGUGAGUAAUGUAUCGGAACGUGCCCAGUAGUGGGGGAGUAACUACUCGAAAGAGUGGCUAAUACCGCAUGAGAACUGAGGUUGAAAGCGGGGGACCUUCGGGCCUCGCGCUACUGGAGCGGCCGAUAUCAGAUUAGGUAGUUGGUGGGGUAAAGGCCCACCAAGGCGACGAUCAGUAGCUGGUCUGAGAGGACGAUCAGCCACACUGGGACUGAGACACGGCCCAGACUCCUACGGGAGGCAGCAGUGGGGAAUUUUGGACAAUGGGGGCAACCCUGAUCCAGCAAUGCCGCGUGAGUGAAGAAGGCCUUCGGGUUGUAAAGCUCUUUUGUCAGGGAAGAAACAGCAGCUCUAACACAGUCUGCGAAUGACGGUACCUGAAGAAUAAGCACCGGCUAACUACGUG
RNAcentral lists this ribosomal RNA (494 nucleotides) under uncultured bacterium. RNAcentral's name for it is "bacterial SSU rRNA". It matches the Rfam family "Bacterial small subunit ribosomal RNA", at positions 17 to 507 of the family's 1533-position model. The record is from RNAcentral.